GCGGCCGUGACCCUGCUGGAGUGUGGGGGGGACCUCCAGCCCCCCGGGGGGUCCCUGACGCUGCUGUGCCACGCAUCUGGGUUUGAUUUCGGGAAUUUUGGAAUUAUCUGGAUCCGUCAGAGACCCAAAAAGACACUGGAAUACAUCGCCAGCAUCAGCAGCAGUGGUGGCGGCACCGGCUACGCGCCGUUGGUCAAGGGCCGGUUCACGAUCUCCACGGACAACGGGCAGAGCUCGGUGACGCUGACAAUGAACAACCUCAAGGACGAGGAUUCCGCCAUUUAUUUCUGCACAAAACGUGCCAGUAGUAGUUACGGUUCUCAGAGUGCUGCUGAAAUUGGCAGAAGCACCGUCAGUGUUCCCACCACCAUGAUGGUCACCAACUAUCUCCACAAACAUGGUGCAACCGCCGACAUCAACCUGGACCCUCGGCACAACAACUUGGAAAAAGGGAUGAGACCCCCCGUGGAGGGCCAGCAGGAGCAGAAGGACGAGGAUGAUGAAAUCCAAGGGUCCCAAUUUCGGGCCAAUAUAAAGAAUAUUGCGGUCAAGGGUUGA
Melozone crissalis (California towhee) is the source of this 558-nucleotide non-coding RNA. NCBI's taxonomy places the organism in Eukaryota, Metazoa, Chordata, Aves, Passeriformes, Passerellidae. The record is from the annotation of a RefSeq genome assembly.